ACAGUUUGACUCUAGCUGAGAACUUAGCUAUCCCUGAAUCAAUAUACAUGUAAGCUCAAGCUACCCCGCAUCUUCUCACGCCCUAAAAGGCUAGCCUGUUAUAUCAAAUUUUUUUUAUACCUAAAAGCGCGCCACAGUAAGCAACUCUAAUAAUCUGCAAAAGCAAGAAUUGGAUAUCAGGUUAAGAGUUGGCAAAAUUCGUGCCAGCUGCCGCGGUUAGACGAUAAACUCAAGUUAACUAAAACACGACUAAAUAUAGGAUGAACUAAACAGUCUUCAAGGUCUAAUUUAUAACCUUAGAGCCCUAUUCAUCAACCACUGUGAAGGUAUGGCCCAAAACACGGAUUAGAUACCCGUCUAUUCAUAUAGUAAAUCAAGUCGAGAAAUACGAACUACAGUUUAAAACUCAAAGAUUUUGGCGGUGUCUUAUCAAACCAGGGGAACCUGUCUCAUAACUCGAUAAUCCACGAAUGCCUUACCUCUCCUAGACCAACCAGUUUGUGUACUGCCGUCGUAAGCACACCUCUAAAAGUAACUAGUAUGCAAUAAUGAUAAAUCCCAUUUACGUCAGGUCAAAGUGCAGCUCAUGGGGAGGUGAUGAUGGGUUACACCCUAAAUAAAGAUACGGAAUAUGUUUUCAAAUAACCUAUAAAGGUGGACUUGGAUGUAAUAAUGAUCUUAAAUUAUAAUGAACAUGAAUCUAAGACAUGCACACAUCGCCCGUCACUCUCGCCUAAAGGCGAGAUAAGUCGUAACAAAGUAGGUGCAACGGAAGUUGUACCUGU
RNAcentral lists this non-coding RNA (785 nucleotides) under Eisenia nordenskioldi nordenskioldi. The record is from RNAcentral. Lineage: Eukaryota; Metazoa; Annelida; Clitellata; Crassiclitellata; Lumbricidae.